Molecule: ribosomal RNA, 253 nt
Filed under: uncultured bacterium
Lineage: Bacteria
Description: partial 16S ribosomal RNA
Rfam family: Bacterial small subunit ribosomal RNA
Source: RNAcentral
UACGUAGGGUGCAAGCGUUAAUCGGAAUUACUGGGCGUAAAGCGUGCGCAGGCGGUUCUAUAAGACAGAUGUGAAAUCCCCGGGCUCAACCUGGGAACUGCAUUUGUGACUGUAGAGCUGGAGUACGGCAGAGGGGGAUGGAAUUCCGCGUGUAGCAGUGAAAUGCGUAGAUAUGCGGAGGAACACCGAUGGCGAAGGCAAUCCCCUGGGCCUGUGCUGACGCUCAUGCACGAAAGCGUGGGGAGCAAACAGG